This is a long non-coding RNA of Hyaena hyaena (striped hyena), 675 nucleotides long. RefSeq lists it as uncharacterized. The transcript is spliced from 3 exons. NCBI's taxonomy places the organism in Eukaryota, Metazoa, Chordata, Mammalia, Carnivora, Hyaenidae. The record is from RefSeq and is a predicted model, not a curated record.
CAGCUCCCCAGUGGCUACCUCCUCUGCUGUUGGAGGGGAUAUGAAGGAAAAGAAGGUGUGCCAGCCUGUCACCUCCCAAAGGACCUCCUUUCUCCCGAAGAGCAGCUGGUUUCUUUAGGGGAGGAGCUGGAGAGGCAGGAUGGGGUUUUGAGACCAGAAGAGGACCACAACCCUACUGGAUCCAAACCCUGCAGUAUUGCUGCUGUCUGGACUCUCCCCAGUCAUCCAGCAGAUGACAAAGAGGACCCUGUAAGACCAUUCCAUUCCCAGCCUUUCUUUUCUCCUUGGGCCCUGUGUCUGAAAGAGACCAGACACUGCUGUAGGACCAGCCUCUGAAAUCAGCCCACGGAACAGGCAUGCGGGUCCCUGAAGGUGCUGAGACUGAGGCCGAUGAAGAAGCCUGGGACGGGGUGACGCUUCCCCUGUCCAUCCAGCCCCACGGAGGAGCGAGAGGAAACACAGAAGAGGCUGACAGCACGGCAAAGUGGAACACCAGAACUUGCUCCCCAGGGAGACUGGCUGUGGAAUACCUUAAAUUAGAAGUCUUAAAAAAUGUGUUAGGGAUCCCUGUUGCCCUGGUUGGCUUUGGGUGUGGUUCUUUCCAAAGGAGAACGAUUGGUGGAGGUUUUCCAGCCCUGUAAUUCUACUUGUGAUGAGGUGGAAUUAAAGCUGAAA